UAAUAAGUUUCUGCAGACAAUGGGGCAGC
This 29-nucleotide non-coding RNA is filed under the name Mus musculus (house mouse). Lineage: Eukaryota; Metazoa; Chordata; Mammalia; Rodentia; Muridae. The record is from RNAcentral.